RNAcentral lists this ribosomal RNA (506 nucleotides) under uncultured bacterium. RNAcentral's name for it is "partial 16S ribosomal RNA". It matches the Rfam family "Bacterial small subunit ribosomal RNA", at positions 29 to 523 of the family's 1533-position model. The record is from RNAcentral.
AGUGAACGCUGGCGGUAGGCCUAACACAUGCAAGUCGAACGGCAGCACAGGAGAGCUUGCUCUCUGGGUGGCGAGUGGCGGACGGGUGAGGAAUACAUCGGAAUCUACUUUUUCGUGGGGGAUAACGUAGGGAAACUUACGCUAAUACCGCAUACGACCUACGGGUGAAAGCAGGGGAUCUUCGGACCUUGCGCGAUUGAAUGAGCCGAUGUCGGAUUAGCUAGUUGGCGGGGUAAAGGCCCACCAAGGCGACGAUCCGUAGCUGGUCUGCGAGGAUGAUCAGCCACACUGGAACUUAGAAACGGUCCAGACUCCUACGGGAGGCAGCAGUGGGGAAUAUUGGACAAUGGGCGCAAGCCUGAUCCAGCCAUACCGCGUGGGUGAAGAAGGCCUUCGGGUUGUAAAGCCCUUUUGUUGGGAAAGAAAUCCAGCUGGUUAAUACCCGGUUGGGAUGACGGUACCCAAAGAAUAAGCACCGGCUAACUUCGUGCCAGCCGCCGCAGUAA